This 2140-nucleotide long non-coding RNA is filed under the name Homo sapiens (human). RNAcentral describes it as "HSALNT0357570". Lineage: Eukaryota; Metazoa; Chordata; Mammalia; Primates; Hominidae. The record is from RNAcentral.
CAGAAUGAAAAUAGUAGAUGUGAGUUCCAAAUCACAAGGGAAAAGUCAGGUUAAAAAAGUAACCUCAAUAUAAAAGGUGUAUUAAAAAUGACCAUAAAACAAAAUAGCAGAAAUAAAAUUAAGCAUAUAAAUCAUGUUAAUAAAAUGAUCAGGAUGAACUCUUAUUUUGAAUCACAGACUCACAUUUGGUUAAGAGUAAAAUCUAAAUACUGCGUUAGUGUACCCAGUUAAUCCAAAAAUAUUAAAAAUAAGGCAAUGGGCAAUGAUAUAGUGAAUGAAUCCCAACAAAAAGAGACAGGAGUGUGAAUAUGAACAGGAGACAAGGUGGAACUCAAGGCCAAAACAGCUAAAAGAAAAAAUCCACAAUGAAAGAAUGACAAUUUUGCACACUUCUAUGGUGAUUAAAAAAAAGCAUCAAAUGUAAUUAACAAAAGUUUUAGCAAUACAAAAGAAAAUAAGGGAAGCACUGUUGUUGUAGUAAUGUUAACAAACUUGUGUUGCAAGAAAUCACGUGGACAACAACCAAUAAGGGAGUAGAGGAUUCAAACCAUGUCACGUAUUUGUAUUGCACAAAUGGAUAAUGUAUUUUUCCAAAUAUACUUAGAAUAUUGAUCUACAAAUUGAUCAUAAAAACAUCUUAACACACUUCCCAAUUACCAGUUAAAAUUUGCAUUAGUGCCUAGUUUUUGGUUGUGUCAUAAAACACCCAGUGCUGUUGGGGGAUCCUCACAAUGAUGGCUAUUGUUAUCAUAAAAUAUUGACUGAGAGCCUGCAACGCACAUGUGCCCCUGCAGGGUGGCAUAGACGGCGAGCCCAGGGAGGCCACUGACAUGCAUUCAAGAGAAAAGAAAAGAAGCCAGGCUUUGGCAUAAGUGCUUCAUGGUGGAGUGAGAAUGGCUUGCCCUGGAAGGGUCAUGUUUUAGAAGGAGUGAUCUUCAUUGUGAAGUCUAAACUGUUCUGGAAAUAUAAGCUUUGAAACCCAGUACUGAAUUCUCACAGGAAGUCUCAGACGAAGACACUGCUAACUCCACUUUCAGAGAGAAACACUGAGGCUCAGAGCUAAACUAACUCGCCUCAGAGCCCACAUCCUGGACUUGAGCCUCAGGGUGUUGCAUGCCAAAGCCUGUCCUCUUCACCCCAGCUUCCUGGGCAUUGGAGCGGAUCCAUAGUGUUAGAUAUGCAGUGGGAAUGGCCCCCAUUCCAAGCCACUUCCUGACCUGAUGGCAGCACCCUGCUAGUCCUCACAUGGAGCCCUGGAGAAGCCGGGUUCCUUAACCCAGAUUUGAAUCAAUAGCCUCACACCUGGUAUGCACAUCCAGGCCAAGUGUGGCUGAAUGGGGAGCAUCUGUUCUGGAGACGGCCACCCUCAUGGGCUCCUCUGCUUCCUGUCCCUUCGGGCACUGAUUUAUGGCACACAGCAGGGAAGGGCCUGAGCUUGAGCCCUGACCAUCGUUAUCAUCACCAUCUUCAUUCCAGUGCAGUGAAGAACAUUCUGAAGGUAGAGAUGAAGGUCUUCUUUCUGAAUGAAGCUCCUUGCAUGAUUCAGGGAUCUUCCUCUUGAAGGCACCAAUCAUUUUGACUUUAAUGCAUGCACUCUGACUUACUUGUGGUGAUCUCUCCUGGAAAUACAUGGAAAAAUGAAAAAUAGGCUAACUGGGGAGAUUUCUUAAAUACCAGUUUGUAUGGCUGUGUUAACCUGAAUGAUUAAAUAUAGGAUUGUUUUUUAAGUUACACAUUGUGGGUUUGUGUUUUCCUCAUUAAUAUCAAUUGGUUCAUUUAUUUCUGCUUGCUCUGAAGCCACAGAGUUCAACAGAACUGCCUGUGUGUUUGCUGCAUCUACUAAACUGCCAUGAUCUUACUGAAUAUAUUUCUUAAUAUCCUUUUUAUGUAUGUCAUUUUUGUUAAGUUCUUGAACCAGAACUGAAAAAAAGAUUAAAACGUUAUCUAUUUACAAAACUUUUUUUGAUGUUUUGGUAACAAAACAAUUUUGCACUUAAAGUUCCCACUUCAGAUGUUAUUCUUUCUAUUUUUUUUUAUUUUUUAUUAUACUUUAAGUUCUAGGGCACAUGUGCACAGUGUGCAGGAUUGUUACAUAUGUACACAUGUGCCAUGUUGGUUUGGUGCACCCAUUAACUUGUCA